AGAGUUUGCUUUUGGCUCAGGACGAACGCUGGCGGCGCGCCUAACACAUGCAAGUCGAACGGUGAAGAGGAGCUUGCUCCUCGGAACAGUGGCGGACGGGUGAGUAACACGUGAGCAACCUGGCUCUAAGAGGGGGACAACAGUUGGAAACGACUGCUAAUACCGCAUAACGUAUCGGGAUGGCAUCUUCCUGAUACCAAAGAUUUUAUCGCUUAGAGAUGGGCUCGCGUCUGAUUAGAUAGUUGGCGGGGUAACGGCCCACCAAGUCGACGAUCAGUAGCCGGACUGAGAGGUUGAACGGCCACAUUGGGACUGAGACACGGCCCAGACUCCUACGGGAGGCAGCAGUGGGGGAUAUUGGACAAUGGGGGCAACCCUGAUCCAGCGACGCCGCGUGAGGGAAGAAGGUUUUCGGAUUGUAAACCUCUGUUGACGGAAAAAAAAAUGAUGGUAUCCGUUUAAAAAGCCACGGCUAACUAACGUGCCCGCAGCCGCGGUAAUACGUAGGUGGCAAGCGUUGUCCGGAAUUACUGGGUGUAAAGGGAGUGUAGGCGGGAUAUCAAGUCAGAAGUGAAAAUUACGGGCUCAACUCGUAACCUGCUUUUGAAACUGACAUUCUUGAGUGAAGUAGAGGCAAGCGGAAUUCCUAGUGUAGCGGUGAAAUGCGUAGAUAUUAGGAGGAACACCAGUGGCGAAGGCGGCUUGCUGGGCUUUUACUGACGCUGAGGCUCGAAAGCGUGGGGAGCAAAC
RNAcentral lists this ribosomal RNA (750 nucleotides) under uncultured bacterium. RNAcentral describes it as "bacterial SSU rRNA". It matches the Rfam family "Bacterial small subunit ribosomal RNA", at positions 8 to 773 of the family's 1533-position model. The record is from RNAcentral.